Molecule: non-coding RNA, 324 nt
Organism: Pelobates cultripes (western spadefoot toad)
Lineage: Eukaryota; Metazoa; Chordata; Amphibia; Anura; Pelobatidae
Source: the annotation of a GenBank genome assembly
AAAAACAAAAAAACGGGACAGCUUUUAACUGAAAGCAGUCUGGUCAGCAAUAGACUGGAACUACUCCUGAAAAAGCAGCAGCUGGUAAACCUGCAUUGCAAAAGUUAUCUUAGUACAUAUAUUCAGUAGUUCUGAGAGGGUUGAGAGAUCAAAUAAUUCACACUAAAGUUCAAGUAGAGAAAUGGCCAACACCAAGAAAACACUGGACCACUUAAAAGAUCACUUUAGGGUCAGGAACACAAACAUGUAUUCCGGACCCUAUAGUGUUAAACCCACCAUUAAGGUGGUUUGCCACCCUAUAAAAGUUUUUUUCAUUAUAUCCAG